CCAGGAGCCGGGAGCAGGCACACAGGCGUCCCGACGUCUCUACCGAUACCAUUUAUUUUCAUUCUCCCCAGUACAUCCUGCAAAGCUAGUGGGGUGAGCCCAUUGCACGGAUGCAUAACGAGGCUCAGAGAGGCUGGAGCGGGGCAGGAUUUGAGCCUUAGUGUCAGAUCCCAAAGCCGAGGCGCAUAGCCAUCCUCUGCUGCCGGGAGGGGCUAAGAGGGAAGAAGUGGGGGAAGCAAAGGAGGCUGCAUCAAUCACAGGGAUGGAUUUGCUCCAGCACGCCAGAAAGGAGCAGCCUCAGAGCCACUGAGGAGAAAGAACAGUGAGGGCUGUAAGGGGCGCUGAGGGUGGAGGCAGGAGGGCCAGGGACAUGAAGGACGGGGCAAAAGGGGAGGCAGAGACCAACGGACAGGGACAGAUGGAGGCAGGCACUUGGGAUGUUCCAGAACAGAGGCUCUGAGGGUGCCCAGUGGGUAGGGUGGUGGUGGCCCCACCCUGACCAGAACCUGGCCUCGGUCAAACCUGACCCCCCACCCAGGACCUAGUACAUGCCCCAGCCCCAGCCCCUGCCACCCCUGCCCAAUCGUGUCUGCGAAAUUCAAGGAAGCAACAGUAAAUAUGUGGGCUCCGGAGUCAGGCUGACCUGGAUUUCAACCCAACUGCACCUCCUCAAGGUAUCCUCAGCAAGAUCUUGCCACCUUUCUGAGUGGCUGGUUCCUCUUGGUGGAACCCACUGCUUUACUGGUUCCCUGAGGAGCUAGAAGGGAGAAAGCUUGGGUUACGGCUACAAGAAGGAAGACGCCAUGGCCAAGCCUGCCUCAAGGCUGUUCUGGAGGAGGCAGUCCCAGAGCUGCCAGAUGCAUCUUCAUCUUAAACACAGCUUUCCAGCUCUCUGUACAGACUCAGCACCCUUGGAUGGAGAAACAAAGCUCAGAAAGAUGAUGUAACCUGCACAAAGUUGCACAGUGAGUGUAAUCUCUGGGCACCGUGGAAGCCGAGAGCCUAGUGGAGGCAGAAGGUAAGCAAAGACUAGCCCAGGAAACAGUCUCUAGGAAUUCACUAGAGUGGGUGACGCCUGUCACUCAUUUCAUUCUGGGAAUGCUGCAGGAGAUGGAAAGCCUCCCAUCCCUGGAGGCAACUAACAUGCCUCUAGUGGUCGUGUGGAUGCCAUGAGGCAAAUAUCACUGCUAUUUCCAUUAUAUAAAUGAGGCUCAGAGGUGAGCAUCACGUCAAGUAUUUCAAUUGGGAAAGAUGAUAUUUUUAAACUUCCCUCUAAGCAUGGGAUCUUGCACUGCCCCUUACUGCUGAGCCAAGCUCCCUGGAGAGUCUCCAUACCCUCCCCUUGACUCAGACAGGCCACCCUCCCUCCCCUCCUUGAGAGGUGUCACUUGAGCACUGUGGCUCUGUCAGUGGUAACAGCUGUAAGAUUUGUCCUUUUAAUCCAGAAUCAAUAACAAAUUUCAUUUAAAAAUAAAUUAAACCAGGCAUUGGAAAUCAUUCACCACGUGGGCUGGAGCCCUAUAUAGCACCAUCUAAAUGGCUUCCUUUUGCUCAUCUAUCAAUGCCAAGAGUGGGGGAAAUACCUAGGCUGCCUGAUUCAUGGAGAAACUACUUAAAUGUAUCAGCCCCUAACAAUGAGCAAUGUAAGCCUGGAGUUGCACCUUUUAGCACACCAAUAACAUGUGGAGUGAGGCUUCAUGAGAGCUUAUCAGAGCCCCCAUGGUCACUGGCUUUGAGAGAGCCCAUUUAUAAGGGGGAACAAUGGCUUUAGUAUGUAGCCGCCUAAUUUCCAGAAUGCAUUACUGAGCUCUGAGGAGCAAUGGAAUUCUAUUAAAGUCUUAUCUGCCAUGGGAGGGUAUGAAACCGGUGCGGAACUCCAGGCUUGGCAUAGACAUGCCCAGAAAGCAGCAGGGCUGACCCUAGGAGGUGGGUGAACAAGCCCAGAGGGAGAGGGGGGAGCAGGAGGGGCCCCGGAUGUGUGAAAAUAUGUGUGUUAAUAAGAGCUCCGGUUUCCAGCGAUUACGUUUACAUCAGUGAAUAAAACUUGGCAAUAAAACAUCGGAGCUGCGUCUCAGACAGCAUUUCCUUUUACAGCCUGGUGUAUUUCACUCAUUAUAACAGGAGGCAGGGAGCGCGAGGUGUCCCCAUUUCUCCCCCUUUAAUUAAAUUUUCUAAAUUACUGCCCAAGAUUUGGAUAAAGCGAAAGACUUACAGCUCCCCUAAUCGCCAUCGAGGCUCCCGCCCCACCACUGUGGUGGCCCUGACUGUACCGGUUUCCAAUAUUAUUAAAGUGAAAUACUGUGGGCAUUGCCUGCCUGGGCUCUGGUUUUUAAAAAGAGAUGCAGCAUCAGGAAGAAAUUGGCCCACGGUCAGGAAAGAGGCCUGGGUUUCAGGACGGGCUUUGCCAUCACCACCUUGUGUGACCUUGGGCAAGUUAUUUCUCUUAUCUGAGACUCAUGACUUCUCCUUUUCCCCAGAUGUUCAUCUUGAGGCUCUUAGAAUUGAUCUGGAGCUGGGGCAGUCCUUGGACCCACACUGGGACGACUGGGGAGCUUUAAGAAUAUAUGGGUGCCCAGGGCACACCCCAGAGAUUCUGACAUAAUUGGUCUUAGGUGAGAUCUGGGUAUCAGGGUUUAAAAAAAAUUCCCCAGGUGAUCACAGUCCACAGCUAGGAUUGAACACCAUUGGCCUAAACACAGAGUUAUUAGAUAUUACUGGACUUGAGACUCUCUGGAGAGGCUGGCUGUGGCCAGGCCCCACCCCUGGGUGUUCUCUUUCAGACUGGCUUUUCGGGGUGGGUAUCUGGGAAUCUGCCUGCUCACUAAGCACCCCAGGUGUGUCUCGUGCAGGGAUCCAGUGGGCUGCAGUGAGGAUUCCAACAGAGGUGGGAGGACAAGGGUUCCUUGAAUUGAGCCCAGCCAGCCUCGUGGAAUGAGGAGGCCCCUCUGCCCCAGUUCCCCUCUGGAGGGCAGCACAGGGAGCCGAUAUGUGACCUCCCACUCCGGUCUGGGGUACUUCUCUCCUCUGAUGACUGAUUUCUUUAUCUGUUCCACUCACCGCUGGCAGGAGCCUUGACUGGCCUCCACAGUCACAUCAUGUUCCCAUCAUAGGAACCCCAGGUCUGGCCCCUCUGCCCAUGUGGUUCACGAUCGCCGCAGACCCAGGUUUUCCACAUGGACGGACUCCGAGCCUUUAUCUGCACUCUGCCUCCCGCAGGGCUCCUAGGCCUCCUAGGAAGGCCUUGUCUAGGCUGAGAGCCAU
RNAcentral lists this long non-coding RNA (3261 nucleotides) under Homo sapiens (human). Its description in RNAcentral is "HSALNT0266884". Lineage: Eukaryota; Metazoa; Chordata; Mammalia; Primates; Hominidae. The record is from RNAcentral.